UUAAACAUAAUUUCGACUAUGUCGAAUAAAGUUCUAGGUGAAAGUUUCUGAUAAUGACAGUAUUUCAUCUAAAAGUCUUGACCAAAUUACGUGCCAGCAGUCGCGGUAAUACGUAGAAGACUAGUGUUAUUCAUCUUUAAUAGGUUUAAAGGGUACCUAGACGGCAUGAUCAGCCUAAAAUAAGGUACGGUUAGAGCUAGAGUUCUAUAUGAGGAGGGGAGUAUUGAUGGAGUAGAGAUGAAAUUCUUUGAUACCAUACAGACUGGUAGAGGCGAAAGCAACCUUUUAUCUAAGAACUGACGUUGAGGGACGAAGGCUUGGGUCACGAACAGGAUUAGAUACCCUAGUAGUCCUUGCAGACAAUUAUGAAUGCCAUAGAUUAGAUUUUUAUUUGGUUUAUAAAUGAAAGUGUAAGCAUUCCACCUCAAGAGUAAUGUGGCAACGCAGGAACUGAAACCAUUAGACCGUUUCUGAAACCAGUAGUGAAGUAUGUUAUUUAAUUCGGUGGCCCUCGAAAAACCUUACCACAACUUGAAUAUUAUCUAGUGACACCUAGAUGACUAGGGAUACCUAGAUGAUACAAGCGUUGCACGGCUGUCUUAAGUUAAUGUCGUGAGACAGUGGUUCGCUCCACAAAAUUAACGAAAACCCUUGUUUUAUUUAUAAAUAUUUUGAAUAGAGCAGUUCGCUAGUAGAUCGGUUACUGAU
Molecule: ribosomal RNA, 708 nt
Filed under: Cyclaneusma minus
Lineage: Eukaryota; Fungi; Ascomycota; Leotiomycetes; Marthamycetales; Marthamycetaceae
Description: mitochondrial SSU rRNA
Rfam family: Bacterial small subunit ribosomal RNA
Source: RNAcentral